This is a long non-coding RNA of Ictalurus punctatus (channel catfish), 4287 nucleotides long. The record is from Ensembl. NCBI's taxonomy places the organism in Eukaryota, Metazoa, Chordata, Actinopteri, Siluriformes, Ictaluridae.
GGACAGAAAUAGACAGGUAGGUUGGAUGGAUGGAGGGAGGGACGUAGGUAGGUUGGGUGGAUGGACGGACAGACGUAGGUAGGUUGGGUGGAUGGAUGGAGGUAUGUAUGCAUGCAUGGAUGGAUGGUUGGACAGAUAGACAGACAUGUAGGUUGGAUGGGUAGAUGCAUGCAUGCAUGCAUGGAUGGAUGGACAGAGGGAUGGAUGCAUGCAUGGAUGUAUGGUCAGAUGGACAGACAUGUAGGUUGGUUGGAUGGAUAGAUGGAUGGAUGGAUGGAUGGAUGGACAGAGGGAUGGAUGCAUGCAUGGAUGUAUGGUCAGAUGGACAGACAUGUAGGUUGGUUGGAUGGAUAGAUGGAUGGAUGGACAGAGGGAUGGAUGCAUGCAUGGAUGUAUGGAUGGAUGGUCAGAUGGACAGACAUGUAGGUUGGUUGAAUGGAUAGAUGGAUGGAUGGAUGGAUAGAUGGAUUUCUGGGUGGGUACACUGUAUGGCUGGUUGGGUAAAUGGAUGUAUGGACAGCUAGAUGGGUGGGCAGUUAAAAAAAAUGGAUGGAUGGGUUUUCACUUUCUGUAUAGCUCUAUUGCUAAUGUUCCCCCUGUCUGUAAAGUUACAGGAUCAUUAACAUUCCAACACAGUCUACUCAUUAAAGUCUAUUUAAAAAAAAAAAAAGUCUUGCUGCUAUUUGGCUGACAACUUUUACCUCGGUGUGAAUUGUUAUUUUUAAUUAACAGUACUUAUUUAAGAACGUUUGGCUACUGUACACACAUUUUACACUACCGACCCUGUCUCCACCUGUACCGAGCACAGUCCACUUAUGAUAGGAUCACUCGAGAUGGGUUCGGAUACCGGAUGUAAAUGGGGUCAGAGAGAAAAAGGCAGAGACAGUGCGAGAAAGCAAAAGCUGCGACUUGAUGAUUAGGUGAUGAUAACCGACCGGCCUGUUAUACAACCACCUACACACUAACGCGCAAUCAUCAUUGAAUCCUGUUCAUCUUGUACACACACACAAAAAAUUUAAUCAGGAUACGUCUGUACAAGAUAAACAAGAUUCACUGAGGUUUGCAUUUCGAUUAGAUCUCUUCAUCGUAACGCCUUAAAAAUAUCCACCUGUAACAUGUUGUACCAUUUCUUUCUCUUAUAUAUGUGUGAUGGCAUGAACUCCACGUUUCCGUCAUCGAAGCACAAAGAGGUCGAGGAUAGUAAGACACAAAGACCGCGAUGGAAUGAGACAAAUCCGUAAAACCUGGAUUUUAAGCUUCUUAAUCAACUCUCACUGUAAAAGUACUUUUAUUCUGCUGGUCAUGGCUUGUUCGAAGAUGAGGAAUUUCUAAACAUUAUCUCAGAUAUUCUCUCUAUCUCUUUCUCUCUCUCACACACACCUCAUGCACCCCUUGGUACUUGACGUCACUGCUGUGCAUUUUCAAAACACGCACUAUGUACAAUAACAAUAGUGCAGGAGAUGGCGAGCGGCUGGUUGGGUAAACAGUGGAUGUGGGCGAUGAUCUAAACCGUCAGUGAUACAGACACUCUGUUUGUUUUGAUAUUAUUUUAUAAAUCCGAUACUGCCAACUUUGAGCACGUACACUCCCUCGGCCAAUCGGAGCCAAGCGUGAGGACAAAAACAUUGUGACUGAUUAAUGGCAUGGUAAGACGAGCCGGGACUUACGACACCUUCGGUUCCUGAUGCUGUUUAAUCCAUCUGGGUGUUCAUCGUCAUUGUUGUUGUUGCUAUUAUGUGAGCACUCACCAGGACGCAUGCUUUCUAUGUGAAGACAAACCUACAUAAAUCAAGUCACACUUUUUUUCUAUUUAUCGUCACAUAAUUAUUAAUUCUUCUGGUCAAUAUGUAUGUGUGUGUGUGUGUGUGUGUGUGUGUGUGUGUAAGACAGAGAGAGAGAGAGAGAAUGAGAACAGACGGAUGGAUGGACAGGUUUGUGGAAUGGUGAAUGAUUGGAUGGAUGGUUAGUUGAGUUGGCUGACUGAAUGGAUGAGUAGGUGGUUAGUUGGGUGGAUGGUUGGAUAGAUGUUUAGUUUGGUGGAAGGGUGGUUAGUUGGCUGGCUGGCUGACUGACUGGAGGCGUAGGUGGUUGGUUGAGUGGGUGGCUAUAUAGAUGUGUGAGUGGAUGGUUAGUUGGGUGGAUGGGAGGUUGGUUGGCUGGCUGAGAGGAUGAGUGUGAUUAAUUGGGUGGUUGGUUGGUUGAGUGGAUGGUUAGUUGGGUGGAUGGGAGGUUGGUUGGCUGGCUGAGAGGAUGAGUGUGAUUAAUUGGGUGGUUGGUUGGUUGAGUAGAUGGUUAGUUGGGUGGAUGGGAGGUUGGUUGGCUGGCUGAGAGGAUGAGUGUGAUUAAUUGGGUGGUUGGUUGGUUGAGUGGAUGGUUAGUUGGGUGGAUGGGAGGUUGGUUGGCUGGCUGAGAGGAUGAGUGUGAUUAAUUGGUCCUUGGUUGGUUGAGUAGAUGGUUAGUUGGGUGGAUGGGAGGUUGGUUGGCUGGCUGAGAGGAUGACUGUGAUUAAUUGGGUGGUUGGUUGGUUGAGUAGAUGGUUAGUUGGGUGGAUGGGAGGUUGGUUGGCUGGCUGAGAGGAUGAGUGUGAUUAAUUGGGUGGUUGGUUGGCUGGCUGAGAGGAUGAGUGUGAUUAAUUGGGUGGUUGGUUGGUUGAGUAGAUGGUUAGUUGGGUGGAUGGGAGGUUGGUUGGCUGGCUGAGAGGAUGACUGUGAUUAAUUGGGUGGUUGGUUGGUUGAGUAGGUUGCUAUAUAGAUGUGAGUGGACGGUUAGAUGGAUGGUUGUAUGGACUGUUAGUUGAGUUGGUGGGUUUUUGUUGGUUGGUUGAGUGGGUGGAUAUAUAGACAGGCGAGUGGAUGGUUUGGUAGAUGGAUGUACAAUUGGAUUGGAUGGGCAGCUAUACAAGGACACAAGCUACACAUAUGGGAACUAGGUGACAGUAACCAGAGUUCAGGAUAGCCCGGAGACCCUGGAGCUGAGAGACGGCAACAUAAGAGUGUGUCCUUCACAGAAAAAGCAAUCCCAUAAUUCAUUUCACCCUUCGGGUUUUCAGUAGUAAGUAAAAAAAAGUGUGGAUAGAACUGCUGUACAGCCAACACUAUGUCACUGCGUGUUUAAUAUAAUACUGUGAUAUUGUAAACAAUGCUGAAAGAUUUAGCAAUCAUCAUUACAGGAAAAUUUUAUUUGCAACUGGAGGCCUAGGUUCAUAAUUCACUGAUAUGCAGACAGCCAGAGGGAGUCAUGCUGGACAGAGGCAUUACAGAUCAUAAUAUUAAUUAUACUGUGUGUGUGUGUGUAUAAUACUAGCCUGAAUAACCGAGCUAUAUGGUGACACGUACUGCCACAUCAACCAGCUAAUUCAGGAUGUUGAUUCAUUUCAUAUUUUUGUUGUUUGACAACAGCUUCCUGAUCAAAUGGAUGAUGAAAUGUGACAUCAUAGUUAAUGGAACAUAAUCUAAUGAGAGCUCUGGGAAACCAUAUUCAACGCUGGAUCAUGGAUCAAUGCAGCUGUCUGCACAACAAACAAUGCAGAUGCAAUAAUUACAGAUGACACAAGACCGGAGAGCAGAUUUAGACCGUCGAGAGCAAAGACGGCCCGGUUACGCUGUAAUGGAUUUUAGUUUACGGAUUGCUCGGUCGCUCUUUAUAGCACACCGAUCCUUAUAAUUGUUCAACUGAUCAAUUAUUAAUCCUUUUUAAAUUAAAUGUCAAAGUUAAUUAUUCAAGUUUGGUGUGUGUGUGUGUGUGUUCAUGAGUCGCUUGUGGAAAAGACACGUCAAAAGGUAGUGCUGCUUCUUCUUCUUCUUUCUUCCAUCCACACACAGACUUUCAAGGGAAGAAAAGUCUGGUCCUCAACACACACCAUGGUUAGCGUCUAGGGCUAAUUUAUAAUGACUUUUCGAAAUCAGAUAGAACCUUCGAAUACGAACAACACGAGAUGUAUUCAAGAAAUUAUACACGUUCCUUAGCGUGCACCGAUUAUGUUUUUUUCCCAAAUAUUACCUUUUUUGUGAAUGUAAAAAUAAACCAAUCAAAGCGCACGACAAACGGAGUUAUUGACUCCCAGAAGAAGGAACCGAUUCUGAACAGCUGUAACGAGUCGUUAUGAAUUCCAGUAAUAAUUCCGUUAGUAAUUCCUUACUUCCCGUACAAACCUAGUAGGCUUAUAUUCAGUACGACCACGAAUAAACGCCAUGUAUUCGUUUGCGUUGUCCUACCUUAUACGAUUACGAAUGAAAUACGACCUAUCGGAAAACAUUAAAAGAUCCCGCUACUUUGGCAACGGAGUCG